This is a long non-coding RNA of Gallus gallus (chicken), 1907 nucleotides long. Lineage: Eukaryota; Metazoa; Chordata; Aves; Galliformes; Phasianidae. The record is from Ensembl.
ACGUUCCUAUGCAAGGCAUAGCAUUCUUACACUAGUUACAUCCUGAAGAAAGAAGCAAAACUAGUCAAUGUACUUUAUGUACCACGUGAGAGAUGUAAGGAAUUACACAACAUCUAAACUUCAAAAUGCUCACUUUGUCAAGGUUGUGGAACACCCUUUGAAAAUGUUCACCUUCUGGAAUAAUGGGAUUAUCUGAAAAUACUUGUUUUCAUUAAAAAUUUUGUUUCUGGAGGGAAAAUACAUCAGAAGUCAUUGUUAGAGCUCAGUAUAAAGAUGCUGAACUGGAUGAAGGAAAAUGUCAUUGAUGACUCAGCUAAGUAUCAUUGCUUUGAUUCUUCUAAGUGUAUCUUGUAACCUUCAAGGCUUAUUAACUGCCACAUCAUGAGCUGAAACUGUUUCUAAUACUAUAGCAUGAUUUAUACUGCCUGAAACAGAACUCUAAAUUGUGGUGUCCAUUUGAAAUGUGCACUAGAAAUGGAACUAGAACUCAGUGAAUCCCCUGAGAGUGUUUCUGUUGGUUUCAAUGCAUUUCAGACUGGAUUCACACUUAUCUCUGCAUAUGAACAGAGAAUUUUCUCUUAUAGUAGACUAAUUACCACAAAGGAAGAAUGGCCCAGAAAUUAGAGAAUAAACUUAAGCUUCACUACAACACUCAUAUUUUUCAUUACCUUUCUCUCUCACUUAGGCUUUUGUUGUUUAUUUUUUUCAACGGUAGUAACAAAUCCCAGCAUGCUGUAACUACUGCUUCCAGAGCUCUAUUACUUCAUAGCUGCAUUAAUGUUUCUCUGUGCCUAUGUUAAUGCCGUCUGUGUAUUUAUGUCUGCGCUAUCUUAGGUUAAACUCCUUCUGGACGAAGAAAUGUCUGAACCAUUUAUGCUGUCUGAGUAGUACUGGACGUAUUUUCAGACAAGAAGGGCCAUGGAAUCUUUUACCUGCAGUCCUGAUCACAUAACCACUAGAGCAUUUGUCUAGAAUACAAAGGUUCUCUGCAACAGUAACAAAAUGAAACAACUUCUGUCAUGAAAAAACCUGUGUGUCACAGGACUCCAUACAAUCAUAUCCUCUGGACUGAUGUGCAGGCAACUGAAAGAGCAGGUGCACUUGUUCCUCUAAAUAUCUUUUACUGUUACUGAAGGGAUCAAGGGAAAUACCACCUGAGUUCUCUGUCCUUCAACUAACUGCCCUGAAACUCCUGAAACUUUUUUGUUCAGGACUGGCAGAGACUGCAUUCUUCAAACUAUUGUAUUCAUUGGAUAGUCCAAGACACCAAUUGCACGUGUUUAGAAAUUAUUUCCUAUCCUGCAGUGUUUUGUGAAUCUCUCAGUCUUUACAACGAAUAAAACCACUGUAUUAUUUUCAGAUUCGUGCCUAUGUUAAGAAUUUACUUUUACAGUGAAAUGUUCUGAACUUAUAACCAGGAGAGACAAGUAAAACUGAAAAGUGUUGCUCUGCACAGAACAGUAAGGUAUGCUUUUAGAUGACAUAGAUGAUUCCAUUACAACUCAUUAACUUCUGCAUAGAGGGUUUCCAGCUGUAAAGGGAAUACAUAUUUUGUCUACUGAGGCUCUGAUUUAAUCUGUGCGUACACAAAUAUCUAAUGUCUGCACAAAUGUAUGUGUGCUUACAUAUUCCUACUUAGGAGCAUAUAUAAAAAUAUAUUUGGAUGUUUACAAAGCAGCAAAUAACUGUGGGUAUAAGUAGAAACAUAAUGAAUUUAGUAUUUGAUCACUGAAUAGCUAUGGCUUUAACAGACACCCCCAGUGACUCCCAGAAAUCUCAGUGUUUAUUGCAAUGAAUUUAAAUGAAUUUAUCAAACAAAUAGUUAAGGAUACAAAAAUUUAAAAUGUACACCUAAUGUUUCUGAUUUAUUUUUCUGAUGCUGGAACAUAAAGGCUUAAUAAAUAAAU